GAUGAACGCUAGCUACAGGCUUAACACAUGCAAGUCGAGGGGAAACGACAUCGAAAGCUUGCUUUUGAUGGGCGUCGACCGGCGCACGGGUGAGUAACGCGUAUCCAACCUGCCCACCACUUGGGGAUAACCUUUCGAAAGUAAGACUAAUACCCAAUGAUAUCUCUAGAAGACAUCUGAAAGGGAUUAAAGAUUUAUCGGUGAUGGAUGGGAAUGCGUCUGAUUAGCUUGUUGGCGGGGUAACGGCCCACCAAGGCGACGAUCAGUAGGGGUUCUGAGAGGAAGGUCCCCCACAUUGGAACUGAGACACGGUCCAAACUCCUACGGGAGGCAGCAGUGAGGAAUAUUGGUCAAUGGGCGAGAGCCUGAACCAGCCAAGUAGCGUGCAGGAUGACGGCCCUAUGGGUUGUAAACUGCUUUUAUAAGGGAAUAAAGUGGGAGUCGUGACUCUUUUUGCAUGUACCUUAUGAAUAAGGACCGGCUAAUUCCGUGCCAGCCGCCGCCGUAA
This 508-nucleotide ribosomal RNA is filed under the name uncultured bacterium. RNAcentral describes it as "partial 16S ribosomal RNA". It matches the Rfam family "Bacterial small subunit ribosomal RNA", at positions 28 to 523 of the family's 1533-position model. The record is from RNAcentral.